Molecule: ribosomal RNA, 1469 nt
Filed under: Salmonella enterica subsp. enterica serovar Rubislaw
Lineage: Bacteria; Pseudomonadati; Pseudomonadota; Gammaproteobacteria; Enterobacterales; Enterobacteriaceae
Also listed under: 1 other name
Description: partial 23S ribosomal RNA
Rfam family: Bacterial large subunit ribosomal RNA
Source: RNAcentral
GGUUCCUGUCCAACGUUAAUCGGGGCAGGGUGAGUCGACCCCUAAGGCGAGGCCGAAAGGCGUAGUCGAUGGGAAACGGGUUAAUAUUCCCGUACUUGGUGUUACUGCGAAGGGGGGACGGAGAAGGCUAUGUUGGCCGGGCGACGGUUGUCCCGGUUUAAGCGUGUAGGUGUGUGUUCCAGGUAAAUCCGGUUCACUUUAACACUGAGGCGUGACGACGAGGCACUACGGUGCUGAAGCAACAAAUGCCCUGCUUCCAGGAAAAGCCUCUAAGCAUCAGGUAACAUCAAAUCGUACCCCAAACCGACACAGGUGGUCAGGUAGAGAAUACCAAGGCGCUUGAGAGAACUCGGGUGAAGGAACUAGGCAAAAUGGUGCCGUAACUUCGGGAGAAGGCACGCUGACACGUAGGUGAAGUGAUUUACUCACGGAGCUGAAGUCAGUCGAAGAUACCAGCUGGCUGCAACUGUUUAUUAAAAACACAGCACUGUGCAAACACGAAAGUGGACGUAUACGGUGUGACGCCUGCCCGGUGCCGGAAGGUUAAUUGAUGGGGUCAGCGCAAGCGAAGCUCCUGAUCGAAGCCCCGGUAAACGGCGGCCGUAACUAUAACGGUCCUAAGGUAGCGAAAUUCCUUGUCGGGUAAGUUCCGACCUGCACGAAUGGCGUAAUGAUGGCCAGGCUGUCUCCACCCGAGACUCAGUGAAAUUGAACUCGCUGUGAAGAUGCAGUGUACCCGCGGCAAGACGGAAAGACCCCGUGAACCUUUACUAUAGCUUGACACUGAACAUUGAGCCUUGAUGUGUAGGAUAGGUGGGAGGCUUUGAAGUGUGGACGCCAGUCUGCAUGGAGCCGACCUUGAAAUACCACCCUUUAAUGUUUGAUGUUCUAACGUGGACCCGUGAUCCGGGUUGCGGACAGUGUCUGGUGGGUAGUUUGACUGGGGCGGUCUCCUCCUAAAGAGUAACGGAGGAGCACGAAGGUUGGCUAAUCCUGGUCGGACAUCAGGAGGUUAGUGCAAUGGCAUAAGCCAGCUUGACUGCGAGCGUGACGGCGCGAGCAGGUGCGAAAGCAGGUCAUAGUGAUCCGGUGGUUCUGAAUGGAAGGGCCAUCGCUCAACGGAUAAAAGGUACUCCGGGGAUAACAGGCUGAUACCGCCCAAGAGUUCAUAUCGACGGCGGUGUUUGGCACCUCGAUGUCGGCUCAUCACAUCCUGGGGCUGAAGUAGGUCCCAAGGGUAUGGCUGUUCGCCAUUUAAAGUGGUACGCGAGCUGGGUUUAGAACGUCGUGAGACAGUUCGGUCCCUAUCUGCCGUGGGCGCUGGAGAACUGAGGGGGGCUGCUCCUAGUACGAGAGGACCGGAGUGGACGCAUCACUGGUGUUCGGGUUGUCAUGCCAAUGGCACUGCCCGGUAGCUAAAUGCGGAAGAGAUAAGUGCUGAAAGCAUCUAAGCACGAAACUUGCCCCGA